This 484-nucleotide ribosomal RNA is filed under the name uncultured bacterium. RNAcentral's name for it is "partial 16S ribosomal RNA". It matches the Rfam family "Bacterial small subunit ribosomal RNA", at positions 28 to 523 of the family's 1533-position model. The record is from RNAcentral.
GACGAACGCUGGCGGCGUGCUUAACACAUGCAAGUCGAACGAUGAACCCGGAGCUUGCUCCGGUGGAUUAGUGGCGAACGGGUGAGUAACACGUGAGUAACCUGCCCUUGACUCUGGGAUAACUGCGGGAAACUGUAGCUAAUACCGGAUACGACCCUCGGCGGCAUCGCCAGGGGGUGGGAAGAAUCUCGGUCAAGGAUGGACUCGCGGCCUAUCAGCUAGUUGGUGAGGUAACGGCUCACCAAGGCGACGACGGGUAGCCGGCCUGAGAGGGUGAACGGCCACACUGGGGCUGAGACACGGCCCAGACUCCUACGGGAGGCAGCGGUGGGGAAUAUUGCACAAUGGGCGCAAGCCUGAUGGAGCAACGCCGCGUGAGGGAUGACGGCCUUCGGGUUGUAUACCUCUUUUAGUAGGGAAGAAGCGAAAGUGACGGUACCUGCAGAAAAAGCACCGGCUAACUACGUGCCAGCCGCCGCCGUAA